Molecule: unclassified non-coding RNA, 225 nt
Filed under: uncultured fungus
Lineage: Eukaryota; Fungi
Description: sequence contains ITS1, 5.8S rRNA gene
Rfam family: 5.8S ribosomal RNA (bases 177-225)
Source: RNAcentral
UCUCCGUUGGUGAACCUGCGGAGGGAUCAUUACUGAGUGAGGGCUCACGCCCGACCUCCAACCCUUUGUGAACCAAACUUGUUGCUUCGGGGGCGACCCUGCCGUUCGCGGCGCGGCGCCCCCGGGGGAAAUCAAACACUGCGUCAAUUUGUGUCGGAGUACUAGUUAAUAAACAAAACUUUCAACAACGGAUCUCUUGGUUCUGGCAUCGAUGAAGAACGCAGC